RNAcentral lists this ribosomal RNA (349 nucleotides) under uncultured Anaerostipes sp. Its description in RNAcentral is "partial 16S ribosomal RNA". Lineage: Bacteria; Bacillati; Bacillota; Clostridia; Lachnospirales; Lachnospiraceae. The record is from RNAcentral.
GGAGUUUGGGCCGUGUCUCAGUCCCAAUGUGGCCGAUCACUCUCUCAAGUCGGCUACUGAUCGUCGCCUUGGUGGGCCGUUACCCCUCCAACUAGCUAAUCAGACGCGGGUCCAUCUUAGACCACCGGAGUUUUCCUCACUGUAUCAUGCGAUACUGUGAGCAUAUGCGGUAUUAGCACCAAUUUCUUGAUGUUAUCCCCCUGUCUAAGGCAGGUUACCCACGCGUUACUCACCCGUCCGCCACUCAGUAACCCUAAGGUGAAUCAGAUUCAGUGCAAGCACGUCAUCAUCUUCGGUUAAGGGCUCUUCGUUCGACUUGCAUGUAUUAAGCACGCCGCCAGCGUUCAUC